GUAGGGAAUCUUCCACAAUGGGCGCAAGCCUGAUGGAGCAACACCGCGUGAGUGAAGAAGGGUUUCGGCUCGUAAACUCUGUUGUUGAAGAAGAACGUGCAUGAGAGUAACUGUUCAUGCAGUGACGGUAUUCAACCAGAAAGUCACGGCUAACUACGUGCCAG
RNAcentral lists this ribosomal RNA (164 nucleotides) under uncultured bacterium. Its description in RNAcentral is "partial 16S rRNA". It matches the Rfam family "Bacterial small subunit ribosomal RNA", at positions 354 to 511 of the family's 1533-position model. The record is from RNAcentral.